CAAUGCUGUUUUUGAAUAGCUGGAGGGUGAGUAAUCACAUAGUAAGGUGUACGACACUAAUAUCUCCAACUAUUCAAAAACAGCAUUGACAGUCGAGAGAAGCUCAGAUUUAACAUCCACUCAUUGAGUGUCAGUGUGCUUUUAGACUACUUUUUCCGCGCCUUUUUUGACCGUUUGCUGUGCAUCGCUAUUUUCAUUUUUUCAACCUCUUCAGAGACGGACUUGAACCAAGUCUAUUAGACUACAGGCGUAAAUCUUUUUAACAUGCUCCUCAAACGCCUUAAUUAAGAUGGUAUAGAUAAUGAAAAUAAACUGGAAAAUAAAUUUGGAAGCAACGACAAAAAAAUUAGUCAGGUUUUGAGAGAAACAAUUACCUCAUGGACAUGGUGCACUUGACACUUAAAUGCAUUAAACAUUGCAAAAUAAAAAAGUAAAAUAAUUAUAAUGCUUGAGUGACGAAAUUAAAAUACCA
Non-coding RNA from Paramuricea clavata, 472 nucleotides. The record is from the annotation of a GenBank genome assembly. NCBI's taxonomy places the organism in Eukaryota, Metazoa, Cnidaria, Anthozoa, Malacalcyonacea, Plexauridae.